UUCCUACGGGACGCAGCAGUGGGGGAUAUUGCACAAUGGGGGGAACCCUGAUGCAGCGACGCCGCGUGGGUGAAGAAGCGCCUCGGCGCGUAAAGCCCUGUCAGCAGGGAAGAAAAUGACGGUACCUGAAGAAGAAGCCCCGGCUAACUACGUGCCAGCAGCCGCGGUAAUACGUAGGGGGCAAGCGUUAUCCGGAUUUACUGGGUGUAAAGGGGGCGCAGACGGCGAUGCAAGCCAGGAGUGAAAGCCCGGGGCCCAACCCCGGGACUGCAUUGGGAACUGCCCCGCUCGAGUGCCGGAGGGGG
Molecule: ribosomal RNA, 305 nt
Filed under: uncultured bacterium
Lineage: Bacteria
Description: bacterial SSU rRNA
Rfam family: Bacterial small subunit ribosomal RNA
Source: RNAcentral